GGGGGGGUCAAAGUGGAUCAUCUCAGAUCUCCAUAAGUGUUUAGGAUGUAUAGGUUUUAGGGGGAUGAUUUGGGAUUGGCCCAGGCGCUCCACUUCUAAAUUGACCCACUUUAUGACAACAGUUUUUCAAUGGACCCUUGAAGCGGACCCUUUUUUUUUUUUUACAUCUGAGAUUAAUUGCUGGUCUGGAAUGUCUCCUGUUGUUAUAUUUCAAUAACACUGUUUUCUGAGCGUCAUAUUUAAAUUUAAAAAACACAGUAAAAAAUGUGUGAUAGAAAAGUCUGACUGUCUCUAUUACCAUUCAGUAGGUCCCAUAGAAUUAUGUGGUCACUCCCAGUAAGGUCAACUUAAAAUUAUGUGGUCAACUUUGAGUGGUUGAUAUCCCAUGGUUAUAUGCGCUGUGCUCAGGAGCCUGGGGACAAGGUGUCCGUGUACUGACCAUGUUGAGUGGUUCAUGUGUGGUCUAUCUAUGGUCAGAGGGAGCUGGGGUGCCGACGGUGAGAGGAGGUGGAGAGGACGGUGGGAGUGGAGGUGGUUGGAGGUUGAAGAGGACGGUGGGAGGUGGUUGGAGGUGGAGAGGACAGUGGGAGUGGAGAGGAUGGAGGGAGUGGAGGUGGUUGGAGGUGGAGAGGACAGUGGGAGUGGAGAGGAUGGAGGGAGUGGAGGUGGUUGGAGGUGGAGAGGACAGUGGGAGUGGAGAGGAUGGAGGGAGUGGAGGUGGUUGGAGGUGGAGAGGACAGUGGGAGUGGAGAGGAUGGUGAGAGUAGAGGGGACGGUGGGAGUGGAGGUGGUGGAGGUGUUUGGGGUGGAGAGGACAGUGGGAGUGGAAAGGACGGUGGGAGUGGAGGUGUUUGGGGUGGAAAAGACAGUGGCAGUGAUGGUGGUGGAGGUGUUUGGGGUGGAGUUGACGGUAGGAGUGGAGAUUUUUGUGGUGGAGAGGACUGUGGACUAGAUGGAGGACAUCCCCGCCACUUGGCAGUGUUGACACUGCUACUUCCUACCUGAUGGGUAAGAGGACAUCACUUCUACAACCAACCAACCAAUCAACCAAGCAAUCAACCAAGCAAUCAACCAACCA
Oncorhynchus tshawytscha (Chinook salmon) is the source of this 1078-nucleotide long non-coding RNA. The record is from Ensembl. Lineage: Eukaryota; Metazoa; Chordata; Actinopteri; Salmoniformes; Salmonidae.